Molecule: ribosomal RNA, 589 nt
Filed under: uncultured bacterium
Lineage: Bacteria
Description: partial 16S ribosomal RNA
Rfam family: Bacterial small subunit ribosomal RNA
Source: RNAcentral
UGGGGAAUUUUGGACAAUGGGCGAAAGCCUGAUCCAGCAAUGCCGCGUGUGUGAAGAAGGCCUUCGGGUUGUAAAGCACUUUUGUCCGGAAAGAAAUCCUUGGCUCUAAUACAGUCGGGGGAUGACGGUACCGGAAGAAUAAGCACCGGCUAACUACGUGCCAGCAGCCGCGGUAAUACGUAGGGUGCAAGCGUUAAUCGGAAUUACUGGGCGUAAAGCGUGCGCAGGCGGUUUGCUAAGACCGAUGUGAAAUCCUCGGGCUCAACCUGGGAACUGCAUUGGUGACUGGCAGGCUAGAGUAUGGCAGAGGGGGGUAGAAUUCCACGUGUAGCAGUGAAAUGCGUAGAGAUGUGGAGGAAUACCGAUGGCGAAGGCAGCCCCCUGGGGCCAAUACUGACGCUCAUGCACGAAAAGCGUGGGGAGCAAAACAGGAUUAGAUACCCUGGUAGUCCACGCCCUAAAACGAUGUCAACUAGUUGUUGGGGAUUCAUUUCCUUAGUAACGUAGCUAACGCGUGAAGUUGACCGCCUGGGGAGUACGGUCGCAAGAUUAAAACUCAAAGGAAUUGACGGGGUCAUAGCUGUUUCCU